UUUUUUUUUUCCCAUACAAUGGACUAUUCAUGAAUAUAAGCUAAUUGUUAAUAUCCUUUAAGUUGAUCCUGGCCACUCUCCAAAGUGAGGAUAAACUCCAAACUUUUGAAUCUCAAUUUAUGGUUUACUCAGAAAUAUCUUCCAAAGUAUUCAGUGAAGAAUUCAUGGAAAUAAGCCUUUGAAAUCUAAAAAAGGUUUCAGUUACUAUUAACUGCCAGUGAUGUACUCAAUAUACUUAUUAGAUAUUUAAUCUAGAUUUGUCUCAUCUCUUUUAUGGGAGGGGGUUUUGCAUGACAGAAGGAGAGUAGGGUUAGGGGCCAGGAAGCCCUAGGUUGGAAUUUGCCCCUGACAUUCAAUAGACCUGAACUACUGGAGACAAAUUUGACUGUGAAUCUAAGUGGUUUUAUUUACAAAAUUAAAAGCCUAUGAUUCCACUGUUGUCUUGUAGAUCUUACUGAGAAGGUCUAUGUCUUCUGUCCCCCACCCAAUAGAAUUCAAAAUGAAAACAUACCAGUGAAAUAAAGUUAAGCUCAUUUCUGCUUUUUUCCACUAAUGUCUAUUCUAGUAACCUUUUCAAAUACUAACAAUGUUUUUUCAAAGAACAUUAUUGGUAUUUAUUUAGUCCUUGUCUUUGUUGGUGCUCUACAUUUGAACUCACAGAAUAUCCUUGGAUACAGUAAUGUUUGUGUUGCAGGGUUUUGUUUUGUUUUGUUUUGGUAAGAAUUAAAUGAGAGCAAAGUGUUAACUGCUUGAGAAAGUAGCUAGCCCACACAGCCUUCAUAAAUAAGGGCAUUCAUGCAAGACAAGUCUUUACAGCUGUAUCCUAAGUCCAAGGCAGUACAGCUCAUGCAGGAGCCACAACUAUACUCACAUAUUGGAAAUCCACAUCUUUCAAAUGCCAACAAAAUAGUAUUAGGGCUGUGUUGUAUUUCAUGGUUAUGUGGUUAUUUGUUCAACCAUUAAAAUUAUUUCCACAAUAACGAGAAACUAUUUCCUUUAUACAUCAAAACUAGAUGCCCUUGUAUUCUGAAUAGAAGUAAAUAAUGAAUUAAUUUCCAGGAAAUUUAAACCAUAUUUAACUAGAUGAGUUAAAAUACAUCUUUCAAAGCUCCAGGAAAAUGAGCCUCUAAUUAUUGAA
This 1138-nucleotide long non-coding RNA is filed under the name Macaca fascicularis (crab-eating macaque). RNAcentral's name for it is "lncRNA (ENSMFAG00000052301.1)". Lineage: Eukaryota; Metazoa; Chordata; Mammalia; Primates; Cercopithecidae. The record is from RNAcentral.